AUUGAACGCUGGCGGCAGGCCUAACACAUGCAAGUCGAACGGUAACAGGAAGAAGCUUGCUUCUUUGCUGACGAGUGGCGGACGGGUGAGUAAUGUCUGGGAAACUGCCUGAUGGAGGGGGAUAACUACUGGAAACGGUAGCUAAUACCGCAUAACGUCGCAAGACCAAAGAGGGGGACCUUCGGGCCUCUUGCCAUCGGAUGUGCCCAGAUGGGAUUAGCUAGUAGGUGGGGUAACGGCUUACCUAGGCGACGAUCCCUAGCUGGUCUGAGAGGAUGACCAGCCACACUGGAACUGAGACACGGUCCAGACUCCUACGGGAGGCAGCAGUGGGGAAUAUUGCACAAUGGGCGCAAGCCUGAUGCAGCCAUGCCGCGUGUAUGAAGAAGGCCUUCGGGUUGUAAAGUACUUUCAGCGGGGAGGAAGGGAGUAAAGUUAAUACCUUUGCUCAUUGACGUUACCCGCAGAAGAAGCACCGGCUAACUCCGUG
This 490-nucleotide ribosomal RNA is filed under the name uncultured bacterium. RNAcentral's name for it is "partial 16S ribosomal RNA". It matches the Rfam family "Bacterial small subunit ribosomal RNA", at positions 30 to 507 of the family's 1533-position model. The record is from RNAcentral.